This 253-nucleotide ribosomal RNA is filed under the name uncultured bacterium. RNAcentral's name for it is "partial 16S ribosomal RNA". It matches the Rfam family "Bacterial small subunit ribosomal RNA", at positions 524 to 776 of the family's 1533-position model. The record is from RNAcentral.
UGCGUAGGGUGCAAGCGUUGUCCGGAAUUAUUGGGCGUAAAGAGCUCGUAGGCGGUUUGUCGCGUCUGCUGUGAAAACUCGGGGCUUAACCCCGGGCCUGCAGUGGGUACGGGCAGACUAGAGUGCGGUAGGGGAGACUGGAAUUCCUGGUGUAGCGGUGAAAUGCGCAGAUAUCAGGAGGAACACCGGUGGCGAAGGCGGGUCUCUGGGCCGUAACUGACGCUGAGGAGCGAAAGCGUGGGGAGCGAACAGG